This 438-nucleotide ribosomal RNA is filed under the name uncultured bacterium. RNAcentral describes it as "partial 16S ribosomal RNA". It matches the Rfam family "Bacterial small subunit ribosomal RNA", at positions 340 to 795 of the family's 1533-position model. The record is from RNAcentral.
CCUGCGCGGCUGCAGUAGGGAAUAUUGUUCAAUGGGGGAAACCCUGUAGCAGCAACGCCGCGUGGAGGAUGAAGGUUUUCGGAUUGUAAACUCCUUUUGUUAGAGAAGAUAAUGACGGUAUCUGACGAAUUAGCACCGGCUAACUCCGUGCCAGCAGCCGCGGUAAUACGGAGGGUGCAAGCGUUACUCGGAAUGACUGGGCGUAAAGAGCGCGUAGGCGGGAUAGCAAGUCAGAUGUGAAAUCCUAUGGCUUAACCAUAGAACUGCAUGUGAAACUGUUAUUCUUGAGUAUGGGAGAGGUAGGUGGAAUGCGUGGUGUAGGGGUAAAAUCCGUAGAGAUCAAGAGGAAUACUGAUUGCGAAGGCGACCUGCUAGAACAUAACUGACGCUGAUGCGCGAAAGCGUGGGUAGCAAACAGGAUUAGAUACCCGAGUAGUC